CAAUAGAAUCGGUUUUCUCAAGGGUGUCGGCACACUCCUAGUAAAGGGGGUGAGGCCGUUUGACGACUUUUGAAUCUUUGAUGUUUGCGGUUGCGUUUGCUAGUCUAAUCGUAGCGAUCCUAUCAUUUGACUCAAAAAAAUAAUCCACCCUUGAGUUAGCGGCUCAGGUGGAUUAUUUUUUUUCUACCUUAUUGGCCGACUCCUUUAUAGGAACCGACUAUUGUAGACCGUUGGUGUUACAGCACCAGCG
This 250-nucleotide small RNA is filed under the name Metabacillus litoralis. RNAcentral describes it as "Bacillus litoralis BsrG". It matches the Rfam family "BsrG". Rfam says of the family: bsrE, bsrG and bsrH pair through intermolecular interactions with antisense sRNAs. SR4 interaction with the 3'UTR of bsrG RNA promotes bsrG degradation and inhibits its translation. Lineage: Bacteria; Bacillati; Bacillota; Bacilli; Caryophanales; Bacillaceae. The record is from Rfam by way of RNAcentral.